Molecule: ribosomal RNA, 220 nt
Filed under: Austrotrema bicinctulum
Lineage: Eukaryota; Fungi; Ascomycota; Lecanoromycetes; Ostropales; Graphidaceae
Description: partial small subunit ribosomal RNA
Source: RNAcentral
AGUAACGGGCAACAUGGGAACUGAAAUCAUUAGACCGUUUCUGAAACUCGUAGUGAAGUAUGUUGUUUAAUUUGUAAACACGCAAAUAUACCACAAUUUGUAUAACUAUAGAAUAAUUUAGUUACAAGUGUUGCACGGCUGUCUUCAGAAACUGUGGUUAGAUCCAUUAAAUUGACGUAAUAUUUAUUAUAAAGUAGUUCGCCGCUAUAUUGGUAGUGAU